UGUUUGAAGAGCACAUAUAGUGGAAUAUAAAUGUGUCGAGAUAAGGUAUUCUUGCUUAUUAACCAUAGUAUCUUUUCUGAAUCUCGCAAUUUUGGUGGUGUACCUUGCAACAGCAUGCUUGUUGUUAUGGCUUUUUUUUACUUUGGUUUAGAAGGCAACCCAGCUAAGAGAUAGAGAUUCAGUGACAUGAAGAGUGUGAAGUGAACCACCUAUCACCACGC
Molecule: long non-coding RNA, 221 nt
Organism: Daphnia pulex (common water flea)
Lineage: Eukaryota; Metazoa; Arthropoda; Branchiopoda; Diplostraca; Daphniidae
Exons: 3
Source: RefSeq, a predicted model, not a curated record